This is a long non-coding RNA of Helianthus annuus (common sunflower), 726 nucleotides long. RefSeq lists it as uncharacterized. The record is from RefSeq and is a predicted model, not a curated record. Lineage: Eukaryota; Viridiplantae; Streptophyta; Magnoliopsida; Asterales; Asteraceae. The transcript is spliced from 2 exons.
CUCAUACCCUCACCCCACAAACUCAAAUUCAAUAUCCAGAUCUGUGAGCAUCGAAGAAUCAAGAUCUAAACAAGAUACGGAUAAUCAAAACACGAACACGUCGAGAACUGAAAAUCGAAGAUCCAAGAAUUGGAUGUUUAUAGUGGUGUCAAGUGUGGACUCAUGGGGACUAUUGUUCUGCUGCAGAUAUGGUAGCUCUAUAUAUAGUUGUUUUUAUUGGUUUUAGUUAACCUAGGAUAAUUGUUUAAUUAGUAUGGUUUCACUGAUUUUGGUUGAAUUUGGGGUUAUCUCUAGUAAGUUAAUUGAGUCUAUUUAUUACAAUCAUAUUGUUCAUCUUCCUGUUUUUGAUCUCUUUAAAUACAACAACAUGCUUCUGAUGUGUCCUUUUUGCAUCAUUUGAAGAAGUAAAGAUGGAUCUGCUGGUUUGUUUUUUUAAGCCAUUUAUAUUAAUUACUCCAUCAUCUUUUGUUGACUUGUUUUGUAUUAUGUUCUUGCGCAGCAGGUUUCAUAUGGUGCCUUGAAAAGUUGGAAGGAUGGACUGGAAUCGGAUGCUUGGAUUUGGAAGUUUAUGUUUUUAUUUCAACUUUUAAGACAAUGUUUUGCGUUAUUUGGACAUGUUAUGUGAUAUUUUGGAACAAGGGAUUGUGUUGGAUUGUUGGUUUGUUUUUUUGUUAACAUCAGGUUAUGUGUUAUUUUAGAACAAGGUAAUGUAUUAUUUUAGAACAA